GGGGGUAUAGCUCAGUGGUAGCGCGCAUGCUUGGCAUGCUUGAGGUCCUGGGUUCAAUCCCCAGCGCCCUCC
RNAcentral lists this transfer RNA (72 nucleotides) under Camelus ferus (Wild Bactrian camel). It matches the Rfam family "tRNA". From Rfam's summary of the family: Transfer RNA (tRNA) molecules are approximately 80 nucleotides in length. Their secondary structure includes four short double-helical elements and three loops (D, anti-codon, and T loops). The record is from Rfam by way of RNAcentral. Lineage: Eukaryota; Metazoa; Chordata; Mammalia; Artiodactyla; Camelidae.